AGAGUUUGAUCCUGGCUCAGGAUGAACGCUGGCGGCGUGCCUAACACAUGCAAGUCGAACGUUAGGAGAUAGCAAUAUCUCUGAAAGUGGCGAACGGGUGAGUAACACGUAGGUAACCUGCCGCGCAGAGGGGGAUAACGACUAGAAAUGGUCGCUAAUACCGCAUGGUACUACCCAAACGGGAGUUCGGGUGGUUAAAACUUUGGUGCUGCGCGAGGGGUCUGCGUCCGAUUAGUUAGUUGGUGAGGUAAUGGCUCACCAAGACGAUGAUCGGUAGCUGGUCUGAGAGGAUGAUCAGUCACACGGGAACUGAGACACGGUCCCGACUCCUACGGGGGGCAGCAGUGAGGAAUAUUGCACAAUGGACGCAAGUCUGAUGCAGCAACGCCGCGUGGAGGAUGAAGGCCCUUGGGUCGUAAACUCCUUUUUUCAGGGAAGAGUGAGGACGGUACCUGAAGAAUAAGUCACGGCUAACUACGUG
This 481-nucleotide ribosomal RNA is filed under the name uncultured Caldilinea sp. Its description in RNAcentral is "bacterial SSU rRNA". It matches the Rfam family "Bacterial small subunit ribosomal RNA", at positions 8 to 507 of the family's 1533-position model. The record is from RNAcentral. Lineage: Bacteria; Bacillati; Chloroflexota; Caldilineae; Caldilineales; Caldilineaceae.